CGUACACUCCUACGGGAGGCAGCAGUGGGGAAUUUUGGACAAUGGGCGAAAGCCUGAUCCAGCCAUGCCGCGUGCAGGAUGAAGGCCUUCGGGUUGUAAACUGCUUUUGUACGGAACGAAACGGCCUUUUCUAAUAAAGAGGGCUAAUGACGGUACCGUAAGAAUAAGCACCGGCUAACUACGUGCCAGCAGCCGCGGUAAUACGUAGGGUGCAAGCGUUAAUCGGAAUUACUGGGCGUAAAGCGUGCGCAGGCGGUUAUGUAAGACAGUUGUGAAAUCCCCGGGCUCAACCUGGGAACUGCAUCUGUGACUGCAUAGCUAGAGUACGGUAGAGGGGGAUGGAAUUCCGCGUGUAGCAGUGAAAUGCGUAGAUAUGCGGAGGAACACCGAUGGCGAAGGCAAUCCCCUGGACCUGUACUGACGCUCAUGCACGAAAGCGUGGGGAGCAAACAGGAUUAGAUACCCGGGUAGUCCC
Molecule: ribosomal RNA, 475 nt
Filed under: uncultured organism
Description: partial 16S ribosomal RNA
Rfam family: Bacterial small subunit ribosomal RNA
Source: RNAcentral